AGUCGACGUGCAAGCAACGUGUGCAUGGCAUCAGGAGCACAGAAGGACGCGCCAAAAUGCUUUCAGUUGGCGACGUGCGAAGGAUCUGUGCAUCACCAGGAGGGCAGAGGACGCACCAGAAUUUUUCUUAGCCAACACUUUGGUUCCUGAGGAGUGUGCGCUGUUCUGCAUGUGGUGCACGGAUGGUAUCUUCCCUGCAUCCGGCCAUGAUGGUUUUUCCUCAGCGGUGCACAGCCUGCGUCCAAACCCCACAGACAGCGAACGUCGGUGGAAGCAGAUGACGUCAACCCGAUGUCGCAAUUAGCAGCGUGCUCCCGAGAUCCGCCGUUAUGUGCUCGUCGGCGACGGUUCGCGCCAUCCCUGCAACCCUGAUCAAGGACGGUUGUUUCCGGCAGCAUGCCCACGGGACCCACAGGCAAACAUUUGCCGUGAACCCAUACUCAGUGUCUUCAUGGCUCCUGUCUACGGGCGGAACAAGGACUUCCUUG
Dermacentor andersoni is the source of this 488-nucleotide non-coding RNA. The record is from RefSeq and is a predicted model, not a curated record. Lineage: Eukaryota; Metazoa; Arthropoda; Arachnida; Ixodida; Ixodidae.